Molecule: ribosomal RNA, 253 nt
Filed under: uncultured bacterium
Lineage: Bacteria
Description: partial 16S ribosomal RNA
Rfam family: Bacterial small subunit ribosomal RNA
Source: RNAcentral
UACGAAGGGGGCUAGCGUUGCUCGGAAUUACUGGGCGUAAAGGGGGCGUAGGCGGACAGUUUAGUCAGAGGUGAAAGCCCAGGGCUCAACCUUGGAAUUGCCUUUGAUACUGACUGUCUUGAGUAUGGGAGAGGUUAGCGGAACUCCGAGUGUAGAGGUGAAAUUCGUAGAUAUUCGGAAGAACACCAGUGGCGAAGGCGGCUAACUGGCCCAUUACUGACGCUGAGGCUCGAAAGCGUGGGGAGCGAAAGGG